GAUGAAGAACGCAGCGAAAUGCGAUAAGUAAUGUGAAUUGCAGAAUUCAGUGAAUCAUCGAAUCUUUGAACGCACCUUGCGCCUUUUGGUAUUCCGAAAGGCACACCUGUUUGAGCGUCAUGAAUACCUCAAUCUCCAUCUUUUCUUCGGAUUGAUGGGUGACUUGGAUGUUGAGCCCUGCUGGUAUGCUAUAUCAGCUGGCUUUAAACUUAUUAGCCGGCUCUGUACUGGAUCGGUUUGACUCGACGUGAUAAUAUUAUCGUUGAGGAUGCAUGUCUCAUGCAGCCGGAAAGUAUCAAAGCAGCUUAUAGCUUGCCUUUAGUGCACUUUUACAUUUUAGACCUCAGAUCAGGUGGGACUACCCGCUGAACUUAAGCAUAUCAAUAAGCGGAGGA
This 395-nucleotide unclassified non-coding RNA is filed under the name soil metagenome. RNAcentral's name for it is "partial contains 5.8S ribosomal RNA, internal transcribed spacer 2, and large subunit ribosomal RNA". The stretch from base 1 to 120 matches the Rfam family "5.8S ribosomal RNA", at positions 35 to 154 of the family's 154-position model. The record is from RNAcentral.